Molecule: ribosomal RNA, 229 nt
Filed under: uncultured bacterium
Lineage: Bacteria
Description: partial 16S ribosomal RNA
Rfam family: Bacterial small subunit ribosomal RNA
Source: RNAcentral
UCCGUAGGCGGGCAAUUAAGUCAGAGGUGAAAUCCCACAGCUCAACUGUGGAACUGCCUUUGAUACUGGUUGUCUUGAGUUAUAGUGAAGUAGAUAGAAUAUGUAGUGUAGCGGUGAAAUGCAUAGAUAUUACAUAGAAUACCGAUUGCGAAGGCAGUCUACUAACUGUACACUGACGCUGAUGGACGAAAGCGUGGGGAGCGAACAGGAUUAGAUACCAUGGUAGUCC